GGGGGCGACUGGUUUCGACAUGAUAGUUUUGAGAGAGGAAGCAAGCGGUGGUCUCCUCGCCACCUUAAACAGGGGUACCGUCAAAUUAAUUGACAACAAGCAAUACGCACUCGCCGCUUAAUUAAGCAGCGACGUCGACUGUGUGGGCUUCCCCACCACGCACAAGACGCCAUUUUGGGGAAUGCAUCCGCGCACGUAGCCGGUAUGGCACGGAUAAAGACAGAACCAGCUGGGGAUAAGCCCGUGUGUCUGUAGACCCGCUUUGACCGAGACUUGAGUACAGACUGAGCUUGGAGAUGCCUCUCAAGGAGCUAUUAUGGACCGGAGUUCGAUCCUCCGCGCCUCCACCA
RNAcentral lists this transfer-messenger RNA (350 nucleotides) under Coriobacteriales bacterium. It matches the Rfam family "transfer-messenger RNA". Rfam says of the family: Bacterial tmRNA, also known as 10Sa RNA or SsrA, is named for its dual tRNA and mRNA-like properties. Its role is to liberate the mRNA from a stalled ribosome. To accomplish this part of the tmRNA is used as a reading frame that ends in a translation stop signal. The record is from RNAcentral. Lineage: Bacteria; Bacillati; Actinomycetota; Coriobacteriia; Coriobacteriales.